AAAUUGGUUAAUCCUGCUAGUAGUCAUAUGCUUGUCUUAGAGAUUAAGCAGUAUGUGUAUAAGUACAUACCUUAAAAUGGUGAAACCGCAAGUGGCUCAUUAAAUCAGCUAUGGUUCCUUAGAUCAUGUAUACUUCAUGGAUAACUGUAGUAAUUCUAGAGAUUAAACAUGCAAU
RNAcentral lists this non-coding RNA (175 nucleotides) under Trichobilharzia regenti. Its description in RNAcentral is "Eukaryotic small subunit ribosomal RNA". It matches the Rfam family "Eukaryotic small subunit ribosomal RNA", at positions 1 to 177 of the family's 1831-position model. Lineage: Eukaryota; Metazoa; Platyhelminthes; Trematoda; Strigeidida; Schistosomatidae. The record is from Rfam by way of RNAcentral.